Molecule: transfer RNA, 73 nt
Filed under: Ixodes scapularis (black-legged tick)
Lineage: Eukaryota; Metazoa; Arthropoda; Arachnida; Ixodida; Ixodidae
Rfam family: tRNA
About the family: Transfer RNA (tRNA) molecules are approximately 80 nucleotides in length. Their secondary structure includes four short double-helical elements and three loops (D, anti-codon, and T loops). Further hydrogen bonds mediate the characteristic L-shaped molecular structure. tRNAs have two regions of fundamental functional importance: the anti-codon, which is responsible for specific mRNA codon recognition, and the 3' end, to which the tRNAs corresponding amino acid is attached (by aminoacyl-tRNA synthetases). tRNAs cope with the degeneracy of the genetic code in two manners: having more than one tRNA (with a specific anti-codon) for a particular amino acid; and 'wobble' base-pairing, i.e. permitting non-standard base-pairing at the 3rd anti-codon position.
Source: Rfam by way of RNAcentral
UCCUGGUUAGCUCAGUUGGUAGAGCGCUUUACUGGAAAUUGAGAGGUCGCUUGUUGGAUGCCAGCAACAGGUA